Molecule: non-coding RNA, 412 nt
Organism: Delphinapterus leucas (beluga whale)
Lineage: Eukaryota; Metazoa; Chordata; Mammalia; Artiodactyla; Monodontidae
Source: RefSeq, a predicted model, not a curated record
UUGGUUACUGGUCCCCCAACGUGGGGAUUAGCCAUCAUGCUGGGAACACUGACUCCCUGCGUACCACCAGGCUGUGUGCCAAUGUUCUGAGGGUGGGCAAAGCAGGAGGUCCCUGAGGAGGUGUGAGCAGAUGAAGACAGUCCAGCAGGGGGAUGGCAGACCACCUGGACCAGCUGCACACUCAGAGCUCCCUGCACGGGUGAGGGGUCACUGAAUAUGUUGGAGCGAGGCAUGGGGAAUCUUAGCUCUGCGACCAGGGAUCGAACCUGCACCACCCUCACUGAAAGGCGAAGUCCCAACCACUGGACCACCAGGGAAGUCCCCUUGUCUGUCUUCUUGACUGGCCUAAGUGUUGGCAUUGCUGUUACGGAGGGAAAGAUUUUUGGACAUAUUCCCUUUACAAUUCUUCUGC